AAUCAACGCUGGCGGCGUGCCUAACACAUGCAAGUCGAACGCGAAAGCCCCGCAAGGGGUGAGUAGAGUGGCAAACGGGUGAGUAACACGUGGGUGACCUGCCCUCGAGCGGGGGAUAACGUCCCGAAAGGGACGCUAAUACCGCAUGACAUCCGACCUUUGAAGAGGUGGAGAUCAAAGCUGGGGAUCGCAAGACCUAGCGCUCGAAGAGGGGCCCGCGUCCGAUUAGCAGUUGGUGAGGUAACGGCUCACCAAGGCAACGAUCGGUAGCCGGCCUGAGAGGGCGGACGGCCACACUGGGACUGAGACACGGCCCAGACUCCUACGGGGG
This 331-nucleotide ribosomal RNA is filed under the name uncultured bacterium. Its description in RNAcentral is "bacterial SSU rRNA". It matches the Rfam family "Bacterial small subunit ribosomal RNA", at positions 29 to 347 of the family's 1533-position model. The record is from RNAcentral.